GACGAACGCUGGCGGCGUGCUUAACACAUGCAAGUCGAACGGAAAGGCCCUGCUUUUGUGGGGUGCUCGAGUGGCGAACGGGGGAGUAACACGUGAGUAACCUGCCCUUGACUUUGGGAUAACUUCAGGAAACUGGGGCUAAUACCGGAUAGGAGCUCCUGCUGCAUGGUGGGGGUUGGAACGUUUCGGCGGUAGGGGAUGGACUCGCGGCUGAUCAGCUUGUUGGUGGGGUAGUGGCUUACCAAGGCUUGGACGGGUAGCCGGCCUGAGAGGGUGACCGGCCACAUUGGGACUGAGAGACGGACCAGACUCCUACGGGAGGCAGCGGUGGGGAAUAUUGCACAAUGGGCGGAAGCCUGAUGCAGCAACGCCGCGUGCGGGAUGACGGCCUUCGGGUUGUGAACCGCUUUCGCCUGUGACGAAGCGUGAGUGACGGUAAUGGGUAAAGAAGCACCGGCUAACUACGUG
This 468-nucleotide ribosomal RNA is filed under the name uncultured bacterium. RNAcentral's name for it is "partial 16S ribosomal RNA". It matches the Rfam family "Bacterial small subunit ribosomal RNA", at positions 28 to 507 of the family's 1533-position model. The record is from RNAcentral.